AUCUUGGUUCAGGACGAACGCUGGCGGCGUGCCUAAUACAUGCAAGUCGAACGGUCUUUCUAUGGAAGCUUGCUUCCACUGAGGAGAUAGUGGCGAACGGGUGAGUAACACGUGGGUAACCUGCCCAUAAGAGGGGGAUAACAUCCGGAAACGGGUGCUAAUACCGCAUAGUUUUCUUGAUCGCAUGAUCGGGAAAGGAAAGACGGCCUUUGUGCUGUCGCUUAUGGAUGGACCCGCGGCGUAUUAGUUAGUUGGUGAGGUAACGGCUCACCAAGACGAUGAUACGUAGCCGACCUGAGAGGGUGAUCGGCCACAUUGGGACUGAGACACGGCCCAAACUCCUACGGGAGGCAGCAGUAGGGAAUCUUCCGCAAUGGACGAAAGUCUGACGGAGCAACGCCGCGUGAGUGAAGAAAGGUUUUCGGAUCGUAAAACUCUGUUGUCAGAGAAGAACAAGUCGGAGAGUAACUGCUCCAGCCUUGACGGUAUCUGACCAGAAAGCCACGGCUAACUACGUGCCAGCCGCCGC
Molecule: ribosomal RNA, 529 nt
Filed under: uncultured bacterium
Lineage: Bacteria
Description: bacterial SSU rRNA
Rfam family: Bacterial small subunit ribosomal RNA
Source: RNAcentral